CGGGAUGUAGCUCAGCUCGGUAGAGUACGCGUCUGGGGGGCGUGUGGUCGCAAGUUCAAAUCUUGUCAUCCCGACCA
RNAcentral lists this transfer RNA (77 nucleotides) under Paludibacter sp. RNAcentral's name for it is "tRNA-Pro". It matches the Rfam family "tRNA". From Rfam's summary of the family: Transfer RNA (tRNA) molecules are approximately 80 nucleotides in length. Their secondary structure includes four short double-helical elements and three loops (D, anti-codon, and T loops). Further hydrogen bonds mediate the characteristic L-shaped molecular structure. tRNAs have two regions of fundamental functional importance: the anti-codon, which is responsible for specific mRNA codon recognition, and the 3' end, to which the tRNAs corresponding amino acid is attached (by aminoacyl-tRNA synthetases). tRNAs cope with the degeneracy of the genetic code in two manners: having more than one tRNA (with a specific anti-codon) for a particular amino acid; and 'wobble' base-pairing, i.e. permitting non-standard base-pairing at the 3rd anti-codon position. Lineage: Bacteria; Pseudomonadati; Bacteroidota; Bacteroidia; Bacteroidales; Paludibacteraceae. The record is from RNAcentral.